Molecule: ribosomal RNA, 239 nt
Filed under: uncultured bacterium
Lineage: Bacteria
Description: partial 16S ribosomal RNA
Rfam family: Bacterial small subunit ribosomal RNA
Source: RNAcentral
CCGUAGCCCAAGAGACUGGGAUAACACCUGGAAACAGAUGCUAAUACCGGAUAACAACACUAGACGCAUGUCUAGAGUUUAAAAGAUGGUUCUGCUAUCACUCUUGGAUGGACCUGCGGUGCAUUAGCUAGUUGGCAAGGCAACGGCUUACCAAGGCAAUGAUGCAUAGCCGAGUUGAGAGACUGAUCGGCCACAUUGGGACUGAGACACGGCCCAAACUCCUACGGGAGGCAGCAGCC